RNAcentral lists this long non-coding RNA (623 nucleotides) under Nicotiana tabacum (common tobacco). Its description in RNAcentral is "long non-coding RNA (NTAB_LNC013104)". Lineage: Eukaryota; Viridiplantae; Streptophyta; Magnoliopsida; Solanales; Solanaceae. The record is from RNAcentral.
ACCAUAUCCAUUUUAUAAAUUCAAAUCAAUCUUAAUCAUAACAAAAAAUUCAUGAAAAGGGGAAUCACACCCAUUUAGAAUUCAUUAUUUAAAGGAAAUCACACAUUCAUACCCCUUUCGCAUUCAAAUAUAAGAGAAUCAUGAACACCUGCAAAUUCAUAAUAUAGUAGGGGAAUCACAUCCCUUCCAACUUACAAUAAAAUAAAAUGAAAAUAUAUCAAUUCGUCCGCAAAAUAUGUAAUAAUUUAUCUUGAUCAACUGAAUGUCUCUGCGACUCUGCCCAAGUUCCGGAUUUUGGAAGCAAGUUUCACAAUGUAAUCUGCCAAAUGACACAAAAUAAAGUAUUAUACUGGUUAAUAGGAUUCCAAAAAUUAUAUAAACAAUUAACCAAAUAACUGAGAUUAACAAUAAAAUAAGAAGUAAAAAAUAUACCUGCUUAAGGAGUACAAAAAACUUAGAAGAUCCUUGAGAAAGAGAGCAAAUAAGGAUUGAAGAAUCACUGGUAAUAGAGAUUCUAAGAUACCAUUCUGGAAUUGCAAGAUUAUAGCGAUGUGAAUCGAGAGAAGACAGAGGAUAUGCUGAUUUGGGGUUUAGAGUUUAGAACAAAAUUAAAAGAGAGAGAG